Long non-coding RNA from Etheostoma spectabile (orangethroat darter), 98 nucleotides. RefSeq lists it as uncharacterized. Lineage: Eukaryota; Metazoa; Chordata; Actinopteri; Perciformes; Percidae. The transcript is spliced from 3 exons. The record is from RefSeq and is a predicted model, not a curated record.
AUGCAAUGAUGACUGCUGAGUAAUAUGUAUGUAGAUGUUGUCCAAUGUCAAGUCUCUAUUCAAUCAUGUGAUGAUACAAUAAACAAUAAUUAGUUUAG